AUUCUCUCUGUCUCCAAAGUUGCCUAAAAGAAAGCGUAGAAAAGACUAAGAAUGGCAAAGCAAUAUAUUUGCUAAGCCAUCGCACAAACCCUAAGACAUAGGUCCUUUAUUCCAACUAGGAAACUAAAUAAUAGCAAAAUAUCUUAGAAAAUAAAGUCAUAAUUAAACUAGGAGAAACUGCACAGAAACUGUCCACCCACGUUUUAACCUCAAAUCUCCUCAAAAUCUGGCCCAUAACAGCUUGUUUAGAAGAUCAAGACGUUCUGAACACAUCUCCAGAAGGCCACGAACCCAUCCGAGGUCCUCUUAGGCUCCAAAAACGCAAGUCAAGCCCAAAACGUCACUAUUCCAGCACCGCGCAUCACUCCUUUAUUUUAUUGCCAGAAAAUAACCGCUUAGUGGAAAAAUCUAAUAUUUUGAUAUGAUCAAGCAAAAUGACUCACAAUCGUCCUCCAACUAGAAUUACUUCAAAAUUCGUCCAUUUGACCAUGUUUUGCUCCAGAAGAAGUCGAAAGUCCUAUAUUGAAAAUACAAUUCAAAGUAUCAAAAUUCUUCCAAAAUAUUAACUAAAAUAUACUAAGAAUAGGAUAAAAUAUAUAAUGUGAAAUUGACUCAUCAAUAACCAUAGGCCUAGUCUAAUGGUGUAGGCACCCAUUGCGGGUAUACCAAGUAUGAUCACCCCUAAAAUUGGUAAGCCCCUUCAUCGCGGAUAUACCAAGCAAGGCCGUCUCUUAUAGCUCUAGGUAGUGAUCACUCAUCAAGGAUUUACCAAGCAUGAUCACCCCUAGCAUGCGUAUGGUCCCCCAUUGUAGAUAUACUAAGCGGAACCAUAGGCAUACUCUAAUCGCACAGGCAGUGAUCACCCAUCGCAGAUAUACCAAGCAUAAUCACCCCUGAAAUAAGUAUGGUCCCCUAUAAAAACAAAACGUUGCAAACAUAUUUAUCAAUCUUAAACUAUUAGGGCUUUCAAUUCCAUUAGGAUCGACAUUACAUAAGGUAUAAUAACAAAGAGCUUAUUUUAGCCAUAACACAUGUACUCUUCACCAAAUCUCACUUUAGCCCCCACACUCUAUAUUGACUCAAUUUACCACCUGCACUCUUUCUUCGUGUCACACUGUAGCCCCUACACUCUAUAUUGUCUCACUUUAACACAUGCAUUCUUCCUCAAUAUCCCACUUUUACCAUAUUUCAUCAAAUAAUUAAAAAGAGCCAUUAAUUGUGCUAACGUGGCAUGGACAAUUUAGUUUUUUCAACUAUGUUAGUAAGACCCAUUGGUGAAAGAAUGUGAGUUAAACUCAAACCAGGGUUUGAUUUCUCCAUUCUAAAGAAAAUAAAGAAGAGGAGAGCGAUAGAGGUAGAUUCUCCUCAAGAAUCUCUGUAAAAGAACAUUGAAAUUGAUUCGUAAAGUGAAAUUCAACCUUCACUUCUUAUAUUUCAACCUUCAUUUCUUAUAUUCAACCUUCUUUCUUAUAUUUUUCUCUUGAUAUGGGAAAUCAAACCCUAGUUUGAGUUUAAUCCACCUGUUAUUAUCCUUGGGUCCUACUAACAUACCAUGUCACAUGCCACACAACCAACUUAGUUGAAAAUUUUAAAUUGUCCAUGUCACAUCAACACAACUAAUGUCUCUCUUAUAACUUAUUUGACGAAAUAUGGUGAAAUAAGACAUUGAGGAAGAAUACAUGUUUUAACGUGAGACAAUAUAGAACAUAUGAAUAAAAUGCGACAUGAAGAAAGAAUACCGAUGAUAAAGUGAAAGAAUAUAAAUCAUAGAUAUAAAAGUAAGAUAUUGCGAAGAAUACAAGUAUUAUAACUAAAAUUAAGCCGAACAAAAGAUUGUAUGGACUUAUAAGGUUUGACAUUACCCAAAUUAUGUGUCUUUUUUUCCCAAGAGUUAUCAGUUAAAAAUUAACUGAAAGCGGGUUACAAUGAUUCUUUUUCUUGUUACACAAGUAACCUAGUUUGGUACGAGGUUGGUGUUCGAUCCGGUUGCCUCGUGGUGUCAAAAUUUGUACAGCACUGCUGGCACCAAAUUAACGACCUCAUUUAUUUCAUUUAUUUUUGAAUUUUUUUAAUAUCAACCUCCUUUUUUUAAUUUUGAAAAUAAAAAGACAAAAAACCCAAAGCUCCCCUGUUCUUGGCCACCCACCACCCGCCACCCGCCGCCACCUCCUCCCGCCCCGCCCCCAUCAGCUCUGCCUUCUUCCUCGACUUCAAAUCCUAAUCGAACACAUUCUUCGUUCCCCACGAUCAAUUGGUCGCAUUUUUUUAUUAUAUAAUUUUUAUAUAAUAUAGAAAUGAACAGGUAAAGGCUCGAUUUUCACAAUGAGAAUCCGUUUGGAACCGGGGCAUGAUUCAGGAGGUGAAAGGGACCUGGAGAAGGGGCUGGCGCAGCCCUCGACCCCAGGAGCUCUGUCGGAGCCGCCGUCGUCGCCGCACCCGUCGAGGCCGACCCUGGUGGUCUCCAAUUCCAGCAAGGCCCUACUGGUUUCAAAUUCCGGCAAGGCAUUGCUGGUUUCAAAUUCCGGCAAGGCAUUGCUGGUUUCAAAUUCCGGCAAGUCUCUGGUCGUGUCGAAUUCCGGGAAGCGCCUUGAUCAGUUGGGGAGGAAGAAGUAUGUGAAGCAGGUGACCGGGCGCAACAAUGACACGGAGCUUCACCUGGCUGCGCGCCGCGGGGAUUUGGCAGCGCUGCAGCAGUUUCUAGCGGAGAUUGACGCUCAGAUGGUGGGAUCCGAGUUUGAUGAAGAGGUGGCAGAGAUUAGGUCUGCCAUUGUGAAUGAGGUGAAUGAGUUGGGAGAGACGGCGCUUUUCAUAGCGGCGGAGCAGGGGCAUCUUGCUAUGGUGGAGGAGCUUUUGCCUUACAUGACGGAGGAGGGCAUUUUGUUGAAGAAUCAAAUUGGGUUUGAUGCAUUGCAUAUUGCUGCAAAUCAAGGGCACCAAGCCAUUGUCCAGGUGCUCUUAGACCAUGACCCUGGGCUUAGCAAAACAGUUGGGCAGGCAAAUGCUACCCCUCUUGUGUCUGCAGCUACAAGAGGGCAUACAGCAGUAGUUAAAGAAUUACUAUCCAAAGAUUCGAGUUUGCUGGAAGUAGCAAAAUCCAAUGGGAAGAAUGCAUUGCAUCUUGCUGCACGGCAGGGGCAUGUAGAAAUUGUGAAAACUUUGCUUGGAAGGGAUCCACAACUAGCAAGAAGAACUGAUAAGAAAGGACAAACUGCUUUGAAUAUGGCAGUAAAAGGUGUUAGCAGUGAACUUGUGAGGUUGAUUGUCGAUGCGGAUCCAGCUAUUGUCAUGCUUCCAGACAAGUUCGGCAAUUCAGCAUUGCAUGUGGCCACCAGGAAAAAGCGAGUAGAUAUAGUCAAUGUGCUAUUGCUCGUUCAUGACACAAAUGUGAAUGUUCUAACAAGAGACCAGAAAACACCCCUUGAUAUAGCCGAAGGACUUCCAUACUCUGAAGAAAUCACAACAAUUAAGGAAACCUUGACACAAUAUGGCGCUGUCCGAGCAAAUGAACUUAACCAGCCACGGGAUGAGCUUAGAAACACCGUGACAGAGAUUAAAAAAAAUGUCCAUAAUCAGCUUGAACAAGCCCGCAAAACCAACCAGAGUGUUACUGGAAUUGCCACGGAGCUCCGGAAGCUACAAAGGGAAGGAAUCAAUAAUGCCACUAACUCAGUCACAGUGGUUGCUUCACUCUUUGCAACAGUAGCUUUUGCAGCUCUAUUUACACUUCCUGGUGGUGAUCUUGACUCCGGGGCAGCUGUUAUGUCAAUCCAAGUGUCAUUUAAAAUUUUCAUCCUUUUCAAUGCUGUUUCACUGUUCGCAUCAUUGGCUGUUGUUUUGGUACAAAUCACCCUCGUCAGGGGGGAGACAAAGGCCGAGAGGAGGGUUGUGGAAGUGAUCAAUAAGUUGAUGUGGCUGGCCUCUGUCUGCACUACAGUAGCAUUUAUUUCUUCAUCAUAUAUAGUGGUUGGGCGGCAUAAUGUGUGGGCUGCAAUCCUUGUCACAGUUAUAGGGGGACUUAUAAUGGGGGGAGUUAUUGGUACCAUGACAUAUUACGUGGUGAAGACCAAAAGGAUUCAUAGAGUGAGGAAGAGAGAGAAGAUGUCGAGGAUUGGAACCAACUAUUCCGUGCGUCACUCAGAGUCCGAUUCAGAAGUGAACCGUGUUUAUGCCCUGUGAUCAUAGUCUGGCUGGAACUAGCCUCUGGUUCUAUGCCACAUGGAGAAGAAAAUCAACACAGGAUUAGCUGAUUCCGAAAAGGUUCUAAGCUAUAGAUACAAAAUUCAGGGACCUUGUAAUAGCAUCUGUGAAUGGACUUGUUUGAAAGUGAUUUUCUAGGUGUCUCAAGGAUUAAGAAAUUUUUCAGCAAAGCUGUUGAUGUCCUUGAAUCUUCAAAGGCAGCAAGUGAGAUAUAUCAUCUGUAUAUGAUAUGGCAUAUACAUGGUACCGGUCCAUUUGUAACUUGUAUAGGUUUUUGUCAGUGAUGAGAGAAGCAGUGCUCCAAUUAGAGGAUUCGAGAUUUUGACAAUGUUUCUGCAGAAGGAUAAAAAAAAACGUUUGCUUCAGUGCAAUAAAUCUGGCGGAUGACGAUCCCAUCGCACGACUGACCUCUUUUCAUACACUGGAAGACUUUGACAUCCUUGACUUGUUCGUUAGCCGAAGCUGGUAGCCAAGGGCCAAGGCAUGCUUUCUUCCUCUAAUUGACGUCUCUAUCAUCGUCAAUGCGCAUUAGGACUGCACUUAGAGAUGACCCCAUUUGAUUAAACACAUGUUUAGGUUGGGAAUAAUCUCAGUGAACGAAAAAACAAUGCAGAUAUUCUGAUGUCGAUGUCAAGCAAUCCACUUCAUGGAACAGAUAGUCCAUUAUGUUACGUAUAUUUAUUUGUCCGCUAAUUAAGAUCGUGAAUGGUUGGGAUAACAAGAAGUGCUUUUGCUUUUGUUUUUGGUUAAAUUAUUGCAGGCUUUUGCUUUUCUGAGUGGCCAAGUACGGUCUCUCAUUAGUCAUCAGGGGAACCAGGUGCAUCACGCGGUGCAGAAAGUCUUGAAUCCGCGUGACUGUGGCCUCUAAAAGACAGUGAAGCUACUCGGUUGCACACUCUGUUCACUGGAACUGUUCCUUUUGUCUAAAAUUUUCCUUUUGGGAAGAUCAAAAGCCCACUCUUAGUAACAUUUGACAGAAAAAGUUAAAAGUGAUUUUGGAUUAUGAAAGCACAACUUUUUU
Molecule: RNA transcript, 5218 nt
Organism: Pyrus x bretschneideri (Chinese white pear)
Lineage: Eukaryota; Viridiplantae; Streptophyta; Magnoliopsida; Rosales; Rosaceae
Gene name: ankyrin repeat-containing protein ITN1
Exons: 6
Source: RefSeq, a predicted model, not a curated record